Molecule: long non-coding RNA, 4898 nt
Filed under: Sus scrofa (pig)
Lineage: Eukaryota; Metazoa; Chordata; Mammalia; Artiodactyla; Suidae
Description: lncRNA (ENSSSCG00040069287.1)
Source: RNAcentral
AUGUCCACAACAUGCAGACAUUUCUGGGCCAGGGUUUGAUCCCAAGCCUCAGCAGUGACCUGAGCCAUAGCAGUGACAACGCCAGAUCCUCAACCUAUGGGGCCACCAGGGAACUCCCUUGCUCCUAAUUUGUAGGAGACUUUUGAAAGGUCUAAUCCUAAGCAAUGCAGACUGAGAAAGCUAAAAGAGUAAAAUAGAAAGAGUGGUAUUCAAAGAAUUGAAAAGGACAAGAAAGAGUAGGGGUAUUCCUUUUUGUCUUUUGGCAAAUUUUAAGACAUGAAACCUCCCAGUUUGCUUUUCUAGACUAGAGCAAAUGGGAGUUUCUGCUGUGGGUUAAAAAUCUGACUGUAGCAGCUCCAGUUGCUGUGGAGGUGCAUGUUCCAUCCCUGGCCCAGCACAGUGGGUGGCUAAAGGAUCAGGAGUUGCUACAGCUGUGGCUUAGGUUCAACCCCUGGUCCAGGAGCUUCCAUGUGCUGUGGGUAUGGCCCUGAAAUGGAAAAAAAAAAAAAAAAAAGACUAGAGCAAAGACCAAAUCAGGGAAGUCAAAAUAGUUUUCAAAUUUCAUAUUUAUUCAGACUUCUUAUUGUGGCUCAGCAGGUUAAGAACCUGACAUUCUGUCUGUGAGGAUGCGGGCUGAAUUCCUGACUCCACUCAGUGGUUUAAGGAUAUGGCAUUGCUGCAACCUGUGGCAUAAGUUGCAGAUGUGGCUCAGAUCUGGCAUUGCUGUGGCUGUGGCGCAGGUUGGCAGCUGCAGCUCCAAUUUGAUCCCUAACCCAGGAACUUUAAUAUGCCUCAGGUGUGGCCCUAAAAAGAAAAAAGAGCAGCCACUCUGGCUUGAGGCAGAGGAACAGAGAUAGUAGAAGUUAAAUUAUUCAAUGGGAAAAAAGGACAAGUUUUCAAAAAUUUCAUAUUUGUUCAUUUUUAGGGAGAUAACAAUGUCAUCAAAUAUAGCAGGGUUGAACAUUACGUAUAAUAUUGUUUGAAGUUAUCUAUUCAUUCUCUGCACAAGCUUAAUUUUUUUUACAUGUUCUGCACAUCUUCCCUGUUGCUGGUUGGAAGGUCGUUAAAACAUCCUAGAAAGCUGUACUGGGACAGUUAGUGUUGGGAGGAGUCCAUGGAUGUUUUGUGAGCACUCUGUAUAUAAUGUACAAUGUAAUGAGUUGUAAAGAGUUGGAGAUCCACAGGGGGUGAGGAUGAUUUACAACAUCCUUUACAAUUUAGAAUAAAGGAGGUGGGUUUAGAGAGACCUUAGAGGUUAAAGAGAUCAAUCUUCUAGGAAGUGAAGUAAUCCCUUUGACAGUAACCCUGACAGAUGGUUAUUUAACAUCUGCUUAAACAUUUACAGUGAUUUCCAAUCACUAGAAGCUCACUGCUUAUCCAGGCAAGUCAUUUUAUUUAUCCGCCCCCUCUUUUUUAUGACUGCACCAAUUCCAUGUGGAGGUUUCCAGGCCAGGGAUGGAAUCUGUACCAUGGCAGUGACCCAAGACACAAGCAGUGACAAUGCCAGAUCCUUUACCACUACAUCACCAGGGAAUUCCUAUUUAUUCCCAUCUUGAAUUAUCAUAAACCUUUCUUUAUAAUAAUUUGAGAUCUGCCUUUUUGCAACUACUUCCUAGGGAUCCCAGUUCUUUCCUUGGGAGUAAUACAAACUAAGACUUAGUAAACUAUUGGGCAAUUUUCCUAUAGUGAAGGAGUUACUGUGUCAUUCCUUCCCUUCUCCAGGCUAAAUAUCUCAAUUCUUUCUAACACUCCCAAGCUAUCUUGGUCUCCUACCUCGAGACAAUGUUGAUUUUAUCAAGGUCCAAAUAGAACAGAUGUGGUCUGAUCAGUUUAGGGUCUAAUGGGUCUAUAACUUUCCUUGAUUUGGAUUUAAUUUUACUGUUAAUGUAGCACAAGCUGGGUUUUUUUGGUGAACAAGUCAUACUUUUGGCAUCUAUUGAGCUGUGGUCAAUAGAAACUGUCAUUUCUUAUUCUUAAAGUUUGUAUAGUUUAAAAAUUAACAUACAGUAAAAUUAGCAUUUUUAGUGUACAAUUCUGUGAGUCUUAACACAUGUAUAGAUUUGUGUAACCACCACCACAAUCAAGACAGAACAGUUCUGCCCACCACCUCCUCAAAAAUUUCCUCCUUAAUAUACCUUUCUAAUCAUACCCUCCUCUGACUCCUAAACCCUAGAAACCACUAUUCUGUUUUCCAUCACUUAUAGUUUUGUCUUUUCAAGAAUGUCAUAUAAAUGGAAUCAUUUAACAUGCAACUUUGGGACUGACUUUUUUCACUCAUCAUAGUGCCUUUGUGAUUUAUUCAAUUUGUUGCCUGUGUCAAUAGUUUGUUUCUGUUUAUUCCUAAAUUGUGUUCCAUCGUGUGGAUUACCAUUGCUUGUAUAUUUACUCAGCAGUUUAAGGAUAUUUGGUUGCUUCCAACUUUUCGCAAUUUUGAUGGAGUUACUGUAACCAUUCAUGUACUAGUUUUUGUGUGAAGAUAGUUUUCCUUUCUCCUAAAUACAAAGGAGUGGAAUUGUUGAGAUACAUUCGUUAACCACUGCGCCACGACGGGAACUCCAGCAAUUGAUCUUUAGAGCGAGUGGAGGAAAGAGAGAACCAGAAGAUGAUGAAUCCUGACAGUGUUGUCUGUUCUCAGCUGUUACUUUGAAUGUAGAUGUUUGGUGCAAGAUUGAUCUUCAUUAGUGGUAUAAACCCUCUUGGUUUGACUGUUUCAAGGCUAGGAAAAAUGGAUGCAUAUGGAACUGUUGGCAGAAAGGAUUUAUUUCAGGACACAGAAUGAUUUGAACGGAAAUUACAUUUUGAAAAUAUGAUGGCACCUGUUCCUAUUAUGAGCACCUUUUUAGGGUUCCUGAAAUUCAGAUGAAACUCUAAUUAUGGAAAAAGUAGUUACUGUUAAAGGCAAAAGCUCAUCUUUUCCUCUCUGUAAUAAUAGCAUGAUAAUCUCUAUACAUGAGGGUUGAUUUAUACCUUCUCCUGUUGGUUUCCAGUAGCAGUAAUUUCAAAAAGUUCUGGUGAAUCUUGUGAUCCAGUCUCCUCUCCAUGACAGAUGUAACUACUAUUUUACUACAAGAUACUCUAAAAUGACACAAACAGCAGAAAUAAGAACAAGAGCAGCCACAACAAAACCUAGUUUCCAGCAAAAUCCUGAUUCCACAUCUAAGCUGUGCAAACUCAGUUCUUCCAGAUAAUUGCCUUAUAUCUACUCCCUUUCUCCUUCAUUUCAUAAUACAAGACUUUCCCACUAAAAUCAAUCACUCUUUGUCUCAGCUCAUGUUUUCCUAUGUACAGGAGUUAGAAUUGUUCUGAACAGUUAAUUAGCCAUAAAUCCAUCUCCAAAACACAGAACAUGUCAGCUGCUUUGGUAAACCUCCUAUGUUCCAUUUUGCUUCAGUGCUUUUUUUAUAAACCUAAUUGUGUUAAUGCACUGGCAUAUUUAUUGCUCACCUUUUCACCCUUUAUGCUGAUCUCUGGCUGCCCACGGGGUUCUUUCAAUCGAUCAAAACCACAAUCCCCCUGUGUAAGAAAGGUCACAUUUACUCUAACAAUGGGAACCCACAGCCAUGUGUUGCCUCGGCGUGGGUCACCAGGCACACAUCAAAGCAAAGGCUAUGGCUUGCUUGGAUCCUUCUUGAGUUUUUACUUUCUCAGUUUCAGAUUCAGAGGCACAGGAAUGAUUAAAAAAAAAUUUUUUUUUUGACUGCCACCUCACACUCACUAUGUGUUCUAGGAAGGAAAAUGGAAGGGUUUUAUUCAAAAGAAAUAUCUCUUCUCUCUGCUCAAGCUUACACCAGAAUUUUUCUGACUAUGACUCAGGACCAGAAAAGAACAGAGAGGAGAGUGGGUAGAUAUGAGAAUUCAGCUCAAUGGAAAGCAGAAGUCUUGUGGAGGAUGUGAAUUUUGCCACAUGCUAGGUUAGUUUCUUCAUUUAUCCUUCUACCCUUCCAUUUAUCCAUCCCAUCCAUCCUCCAUCUGUCCAUCUAUUUGUCCAUCCCUCCAUCUGCCCCUUACUUUGUAGAGAUCUUAGCACCAGAGAUCAUAAACUCAAAUGCCUUCAGGAUAUGAACGAGAUUUAAAAACUAUGAAAAAUGAGAAUUGAGAGUGAACUGGGAACACAGGUCCCAUCUUAAAGCCGUGACCACUCCUCAGCCUUAGCAUUUUCUAAGCAGGAGUACAAGUCCAGCGUGAACUGAAUUUUCAAGAGAAUCAGGAAACCUAACUUUUUACAACAAAUCUUCCAACUUUUAAAUGUCGACAUUAACUAUCUGAAAGUUUUAAAAUCACUGUGCAGAAUGGAUCUGCUUUCUGAAUUUGACAAGCAAUUCAGGACAUCCAAAGCUCCACUGUUCUGAAGUUUAGAGAGGAGUGAGAAGGUCAGAAGUGAUUAUGCUACAGGAGUUCCCAUCGUGGCACAGUGGUUAACGAAUCCGACUAGGAGCCAUGAGGUUUCGGGUUUGAUCCCUGCCCUUGCUCAGUGGGUUAAGGAUCUGGCAUUGCCAUGAGCUGUGAUGUAGGUCACAGACUCGGCGUGGAUCUGGUGUUGCUGUGGCUGUGGUAUCGGCCAGUGGCUACAGCUCUGAUUCAGCUCCUAGCCUGGGAAUCUCCAUAUGCCACGGGUGCAGCCCUAAAAAGCAAAGAAUAAAAUAAAUAAAUAAAUAAAUCUGGAGAGUUUGGAACUAAAUUAUAGACGACUCUAAAAUCAGAUUCAGCAGUUAAAUUUUAUUAACAUUCAUUUGGCAGUGGAGAAGUAUUGAAGGAUUUUAGAAAAGCAACAAGGAGAAAACUUUGUGAUAUCUGUGUGUAGGUUGGUGAGAAAUGGGAGAGACUAUAAGCAGAAAACUAGAGGCAAUUAUAGCAAUCCAGGCAUAAAUAGGAAAAAGCGGUAGUUAAAAAAAAAAAAA